ACUACGGGCGGCAGCAGUGGGGAAUAUUGGGCAAUGGGCGCAAGCCUGACCCAGCAACGCCGCGUGAAGGAAGAAGGCUUUCGGGUUGUAAACUUCUUUUGUCAGGGACGAAGCAAGUGACGGUACCUGACGAAUAAGCCACGGCUAACUACGUGCCAGCAGCCGCGGUAAUACGUAGGUGGCAAGCGUUAUCCGGAUUUACUGGGUGUAAAGGGCGUGUAGGCGGGGAAGCAAGUCAGAUGUGAAAACCACGGGCUCAACCUGUGGCCUGCAUUUGAAACUGUUUUUCUUGAGUGCUGGAGAGGCAAUCGGAAUUCCGUGUGUAGCGGUGAAAUGCGUAGAUAUACGGAGGAACACCAGUGGCGAAGGCGGAUUGCUGGACAGUAACUGACGCUGAGGCGCGAAAGCGUGGGGAGCAAACAGGAUUAGAUACCCCUGUAGUC
Molecule: ribosomal RNA, 443 nt
Filed under: uncultured bacterium
Lineage: Bacteria
Description: partial 16S ribosomal RNA
Rfam family: Bacterial small subunit ribosomal RNA
Source: RNAcentral